Molecule: ribosomal RNA, 1026 nt
Filed under: Saccharata kirstenboschensis
Lineage: Eukaryota; Fungi; Ascomycota; Dothideomycetes; Botryosphaeriales; Saccharataceae
Description: SSU rRNA
Rfam family: Eukaryotic small subunit ribosomal RNA
Source: RNAcentral
AUCUAAACUGUGAAACUGCGAAUGGCUCAUUAAAUCAGUUAUCGUUUAUUUGAUAGUACCCUUUCACAUGGAUAACCGUGGAAAAGCUAGAGCUAAUACAUGCUAAAAACCCCGACUUCGGAAGGGGUGUAUUUAUUAGAUAAAAAACCAAUGCCCCUCGGGGCUCACUGGUGAUUCAUAAUAACUUAACGAAUCGCAUGGCCUUGCGCCGGCGAUGGUUCAUUCAAAUUUCUGCCCUAUCAACUUUCGAUGGUAGGAUAGUGGCCUACCAUGGUAUCAACGGGUAACGGGGAAUUAGGGUUCUAUUCCGGAGAGGGAGCCUGAGAAACGGCUACCACAUCCAAGGAAGGCAGCAGGCGCGCAAAUUACCCAAUCCCGACACGGGGAGGUAGUGACAAUAAAUACUGAUACAGGGCUCUUUCGGGUCUUGUAAUUGGAAUGAGAACAAUUUAAAUACCUUAACGAGGAACAAUUGGAGGGCAAGUCUGGUGCCAGCAGCCGCGGUAAUUCCAGCUCCAAUAGCGUAUAUUAAAGUUGUUGCAGUUAAAAAGCUCGUAGUUGAACCUUGGGCCUGGCUGGCCGGUCCGCCUCACCGCGUGCACUGGUCCGGCCGGGCCUUUCCUUCUGGGGAACUGCAUGCCCUUCACUGGGUGUGUCAGGGAACCAGGACUUUUACUUUGAAAAAAUUAGAGUGUUCAAAGCAGGCCUUUGCUCGAAUACAUUAGCAUGGAAUAAUAGAAUAGGACGUGCGGCCCUAUUUUGUUGGUUUCUAGGACCGCCGUAAUGAUUAAUAGGGAUAGUCGGGGGCGUCAGUAUUCAAUUGUCAGAGGUGAAAUUCUUGGAUUUAUUGAAGACUAGCUACUGCGAAAGCAUUCGCCAAGGAUGUUUUCAUUAAUCAGUGAACGAAAGUUAGGGGAUCGAAGACGAUCAGAUACCGUCGUAGUCUUAACCGUAAACUAUGCCGACUAGGGAUCGGACGAUGUUAUUAUUUUGACUCGUUCGGCACCUUACGAGAAAUCAAAGUCU